GGAUACUCCAGUUCUGCUUCACACAUGGAGUCACUGAUGCCAGGCCAUGCCUCCUCUUUCAUCACAGAUUCUGGCAUUAGAGGAUUCCUCUCCACCCCAAGCUGUGCUCCCAACCUGCGUAGCUUCUUGAACAACCUGCUCAACACUGUAGAAGAGGAAAGACGUCUGCUGUUGCUGGGCAGGACACAUGGAGACUCAGCUCUGGCCAAUCACAGUUGGAUCUUCCCUCCUUGGCCCGCAGCCACCCUGCGUCUCACGUGCUUCUGUCUUGGACCAGCGUGCCAGCCUGAGCAGCCCGGAGUGCCCGGAGCACCCAGAGUGCCCUGCCAGCGUUGUCUAUUCAGGUUUUGACACCAUCUCACCAGAAUCCACUUUAUUUUGGGGGGUGCUGUAAUCCUCUGGCUGGUUUCCGUGAACCUCCAGGGAAAGACCCCCCCAGAAGACCCCCAGCGGCUUCGGAGAGCACUUGCCUGCCUCACCCACACAGCAGGAGGUCGGACUGGGGAGAUCCUGCUAAUUGGAUGGGUUCCUGGCUUUUCUUGGAGGAGUACGAAGCUCUGGUAGCGGUCACACACAGCAGCUCUGGGUGCUCGGCCCCCUUCCCCUCCACCGUCAGCUGUAGCCACGAAGGGUCCCCAGGACCCUAGGAAAACCCCUGGAGCCGACUCUGGAGGGGUGACUGGCGAACAACUCCAGGUGCUUCCAGCCCCAUCAGGUGUGGCCCCCUCUGCCAGCCCAAAUCCCAGGCCCCUGGGACCUUCUUCUCACCAAACCGGCAGACUUUCCUGACAGACCCCAGACUUCAAAGUCCCCAAACCUGGAUUGAGGAAACUAAUGCUAAUGGGGACCAGCACCCCGACGACGACCAUUAAGUAAUCUUCAUGUAGAGAGGGCGGGCAGAGCACACUCCUCUCAGGACAAGGUUCCACGCACAGCACUGAGCAAGUCAAGAGACAAAGAAAAAAAAAUAGGCUUUUUCUCUACAAGGAGGAGGCCGUGUUGUCAGAACCACAGCACAGAGCGAGUGGAGAACAAACGGGGCUCUGGAUUUCAGCCCGACCCAAGCUGCGGGCUGGUGGUGGAGGAUGUGGCAUCAGUGAAACAAUCUGGGUUGACAUCACCAAGAUGGUGGAGUAGACGGUGUGGACCCUCAUCUCUUGCCCCAACAGAAACCCCUAUCUUAGCAACCACUCACAGCUCCCAUCCAGGUCUUGCUCUGCCCCACCACCCAUGUGUAAAUUUUACACGGUUGCAUGAAGGAUUCUAAGGGGAAGAGGAUCCUUAAUUUCCAUUUUCCCAGAGCCUGUAAGCUCCCAAAAGAUGGGAGCCUCCUUGAUGGCGCCUGGCUGUACCAAGCAUAGAUUGCUGAAGACAAUUAAGGAAGAUCAUGAAGAUGCAGAGAGAAUGCUUUCAUAUGUGAUAAUGAUGGAAAUCGGGUCACUGCUCUGGUCACUAGAUGGUGUGGGGACCACGGAAGGGGAGAUCUCGGAGCCCAGGUGAGGAAGCAUUCACUCAGCACUAAAAAGCAGGUGAAAAAGAGAACACAAACUUAUUAAGCAUUUCUUGGAUUGAACUGAAGCAAAAAGGACUUCUGUUAGACAAAUGGUGAAGAAGUAGAUUCAAACUGUAUUCUAACUUCUGUUGUUUGCCAGAAUAGGGGAGGGAGGGCAAUGAAUAAAUGUCCCCGCCCCUUUUUUCUCUUGCUGAUCUCAAUCUUCCCCAUACUGAAUCUAUGAAAAAAAAGGAAGCAAUGAAGGAUCCUAGGCUUGUUUCUCCCAUCUUCAGCACUAAAAGUUCUGAAGAAUUUUAGAUAAAUUGAGAGAUGAUGGCAAAGCCAUAGCUACCUUUUAGUAAAUGCU
This is a long non-coding RNA of Suricata suricatta (meerkat), 1859 nucleotides long. RefSeq lists it as uncharacterized. NCBI's taxonomy places the organism in Eukaryota, Metazoa, Chordata, Mammalia, Carnivora, Herpestidae. The transcript is spliced from 10 exons. The record is from RefSeq and is a predicted model, not a curated record.